RNAcentral lists this ribosomal RNA (606 nucleotides) under uncultured fungus. Its description in RNAcentral is "eukaryotic LSU rRNA". The stretch from base 213 to 367 matches the Rfam family "5.8S ribosomal RNA". The record is from RNAcentral. Lineage: Eukaryota; Fungi.
GGAAGGAUCAUUACUGAAUUGUCGACACGAGUUGUUGCUGGUCCCCAAAUGGGGGCACGUGCACGCUCUGUUCGCACAUCCAUUCACACCUGUGCACCCCAUGUAGUUCUAUGGUUUGGGGGACUCUUCCCUCUGCUGUGGUGCUAUAUCCUUACACACACUCUGUGAUAAAGUCUUAUGGAAUGUAUGCAGCGUUUAACGCAAUACAAUACAACUUUCAGCAACGGAUCUCUUGGCUCUCGCAUCGAUGAAGAACGCAGCGAAAUGCGAUAAGUAAUGUGAAUUGCAGAAUUCAGUGAAUCAUCGAAUCUUUGAACGCACCUUGCGCCCUUUGGCUAUUCCAAAGGGCAUGCCUGUUUGAGUAUCAUGAACACCUCAACUCUCGUGCUUUGCCAUGAUGAGCUUGGACUUUGGGGGUCUUGCUGGCCUGUGGUCAGCUCCUCUCAAAUGAAUCAGCUUUCCAGUGUUUGGUGGCAUCACAGGUGUGAUAAAUAUCUACACUUGUGGUUUCCUGCCGAGUAACCUUCAGCAAUGGGGGUUUGCUGGAGCUCAUAAAUGUCUCUCCUCAGCGAAGACAGCUUUGUGAAUGUUUGAUCUCAAAUCAGG